CAGCCACUCAUACGCCUCUGAUAUUCGAGCUUUAAUGUCAGUCUGCUUUCAGUCUCGUGAUGUUGACGGCCAGCCUUUCCCCGUGGACGCACACUGGACAUCCUUAGGAUGUCCCUGUGCUGGACAUCCUUGUGAACACAUCAUUCCUUGGCAUAUCAGGACAACGCUCUAACCAACUGAGCUACUUGGCCAGGGCAUCAGUCCAUCAUUUUGGAGGAAAGAAGGAUCUUUAAAUGCGUUAAUCGAGAGUUAGGAUUAACUUACUCGGUUCCUGCUGGCAGAGGUUAACGCUCUGCUAUGUGUCAAGGAGUGAUCCAGGUGCUGAGAGUGUCACCCUGUAUGAAGUGUGGCGUUUGCCAUUCAGCACUUACAUCGUUGUGAGAGGGACAAGUCAGCGGAGCCUCGGGUAGGAUGGUGGAUCCGAGGUCCCAAAACCAAGGUGAGGAAGGCCUUCGAAGGUGAAUGAGGCAAGGCCCCGCCCUGGAAGGAGUCACGAGGUCUCAGGGCUCCAGGCUGCAGUGUCCUGCCGCCAUCUCCCCUUGUCCAGGACC
Long non-coding RNA from Molossus molossus (Pallas's mastiff bat), 551 nucleotides. RefSeq lists it as uncharacterized. The record is from RefSeq and is a predicted model, not a curated record. Lineage: Eukaryota; Metazoa; Chordata; Mammalia; Chiroptera; Molossidae. The transcript is spliced from 4 exons.